Non-coding RNA from Oryza meridionalis, 201 nucleotides. The record is from Rfam. Lineage: Eukaryota; Viridiplantae; Streptophyta; Magnoliopsida; Poales; Poaceae.
UUCAAGUACAAUCAUAAUUUUUCGUAUCCAACUUUAAUUGUCCGUCUUAUUUAAAAUAUUUUAAUAAUUAGUAUUUCAUUGUUAUGAGAUGAUAAAAUAUGAAUAUUACUUUAUAUGUGACUUAUGUUUUUAUUUUUUCAAAAAAAAAUAAAUAAGACGAACGGUUAAAAUCGUGCACGGAAAAUCAUGACCACACUUAAA